UUUGAUCCUGGCUCAGGACGAACGCUGGCGGCGUGCUUAACACAUGCAAGUCGAACGAUGAAAUCACUUCGGUGGUGGAUUAGUGGCGAACGGGUGAGUAACACGUGGGCAAUCUGCCCUUCACUCUGGGACAAGCCCUGGAAACGGGGUCUAAUACCGGAUACCACUUCGUCCCGCAUGGGACGGGGUUGAAAGCUCCGGCGGUGAAGGAUGAGCCCGCGGCCUAUCAGCUUGUUGGUGGGGUAAUGGCCUACCAAGGCGACGACGGGUAGCCGGCCUGAGAGGGCGACCGGCCACACUGGGACUGAGACACGGCCCAGACUCCUACGGGAGGCAGCAGUGGGGAAUAUUGCACAAUGGGCGAAAGCCUGAUGCAGCGACGCCGCGUGAGGGAUGACGGCCUUCGGGUUGUAAACCUCUUUCAGCAGGGAAGAA
This 435-nucleotide ribosomal RNA is filed under the name Streptomyces sundarbansensis. RNAcentral's name for it is "bacterial SSU rRNA". It matches the Rfam family "Bacterial small subunit ribosomal RNA", at positions 12 to 449 of the family's 1533-position model. Lineage: Bacteria; Bacillati; Actinomycetota; Actinomycetes; Kitasatosporales; Streptomycetaceae. The record is from RNAcentral.